UGAUACUGAUCCUAAGGUCAA
RNAcentral lists this non-coding RNA (21 nucleotides) under Caenorhabditis elegans. Lineage: Eukaryota; Metazoa; Nematoda; Chromadorea; Rhabditida; Rhabditidae. The record is from RNAcentral.